CCGUGCUAGGUGGGGAGGUAGCGGUGCCCUGUACUCGCAAUCCGCUAUAGCGAGACUGAAUUCCCAUCUGAGGUAUACAAUCAUAAAGUCUGCCAUAAGGAAUUGGUGUUGACGUUUGGGUCCUGCGCAACGAAGACCCGUGAACCCUGUCAGGUCCGGAAGGAAGCAGCAGUAAGCGGUAUUCUUUCGUGUGCCGCAGGGAAGCCUGGACUGAGCCAUGAACUUGUGUAACGUUUAGGAUUGUAUCAUCGACGAUGGGUGCACGG
This 266-nucleotide signal recognition particle RNA is filed under the name Pelagirhabdus alkalitolerans. RNAcentral's name for it is "Bacterial large signal recognition particle RNA". It matches the Rfam family "Bacterial large signal recognition particle RNA". From Rfam's summary of the family: The signal recognition particle (SRP) is a universally conserved ribonucleoprotein involved in the co-translational targeting of proteins to membranes. Archaeal SRP consists of a 7S RNA and homologues of the eukaryotic SRP19 and SRP54 proteins. In most bacteria, the SRP consists of a 4.5S RNA and the Ffh protein (a homologue of the eukaryotic SRP54 protein). The record is from Rfam by way of RNAcentral. Lineage: Bacteria; Bacillati; Bacillota; Bacilli; Caryophanales; Bacillaceae.